RNAcentral lists this long non-coding RNA (1602 nucleotides) under Equus asinus (donkey). Its description in RNAcentral is "lncRNA (ENSEASG00005025294.1)". The record is from RNAcentral. Lineage: Eukaryota; Metazoa; Chordata; Mammalia; Perissodactyla; Equidae.
AGACUCAGCACAACUGAGAUGAGUGCCCUACUAUUUGGCUUGGCUGUCUAUUAACUGCAAUGGGGCAAUACCCCCAGAAAAGCUAUCAGAUGAAAGCAGGAAAACACAGGGUCUUAAAGGGCCCAGGCACAAAUUCAGCCAUAUCAGAGAGAAACCUAAAAUCACCAAAAAGAAAGCUGCACAGUCCUUUGGUGAAAAGAGACUCACCUGGUAGGCUCUGGGUGUGUCUCUGUGAGAGGAGCCUGAACCCCUGGACCCACCUCCAGGCUCACUCACCACCACAUAAUCCUCCAUCGUAGUGUCCAGCAGCUCAAGGGAACUGAAGAAUGUCACCAGGGAGGGGACAACACCCUGUGCCGCCAUCGGGAUGGGCAUGGUGAUGAGCUCCCAAUCUCAGGAAAGAGUGAGGAGAACUCCACCUGCCUCCAGCGCUCUCCUAGGACUUCCUGUCAUCUGACUGUCAUCACUGCUCUCCCCUCAGCUCUCGAGGAGGAGCCAGCACAAAUCUCCUCCCAUUCCUGUCAUCCCUUGGACGGUAUCACCCCACCGUGAGGCCUGCACCACGUCAUCUCCCUCCAUUUCCCAGAGGAGGAGACCGAGGCCCACAGAGGGGCAGAGACUUGCUCAAGGACCCACUGAGGAGAGGCCACUCUCCGUCCCAGCCAGAGUCCCUGUCCCCACUGCCUUCACCCCUCGCCCUGCCCCACCACUGACCACGGUCCUGACCUCUGCACUCCCAGAGUGUGUCCCAACAAUAGCCAAACUGAGAUGUGGAGGGAGAGGGCAGAGGGUGUUGGUGGUGGCCGUGUGGCAUCUCCUUCCUGCCCCAUCCACAGGGGUCUCUGAACCCCAGGAUGGCCUUACCAUAGCCUCAGUUCCUAGGAUGCCCUCAGGAUGUUCCCGGCUCCCUCACACACCCCUCCUCCCAGAUCUCCAGCCCCAGGUUACCUUCAGGAGCAGUCUCAUGCUCACGUGCUGCUCUCCCCUGCACCACUUCUUAAAGGUGUAGGAUCUCUCCCUGGGGGAGUGGGGAAAGAAAGAAAGAAAGACUAUGGGAUGGUUGAAGGGCAAAUCCCAUUUGUUUUAGAUCCCAAAAGAUCCAAACAGCCUGGGGCCUGGAUGAGGGAUUUCACUGGGUUGCUCUGAGCCCCGAGGUCCCCAUGGGACUGGGGAGGGGCCUCUCCUGUUGUCACCUGGGGCCUCCAUUCCCAUAUCUACCACACAGAUCUGUUUUGAACACUCUUGGUUUCAGUUGGAUGGAGAUUUCUGUUGCUGCAAAGGAAAAACACUUGAGAAUCUCCAACUGGGCUCAAGUCAGGAUCUGAUAUUGAAGGAAAUGAGUUCCUGGGCAGAACCGCUGGCCUAAGGGCCCUGAGAGGCUCAGAGACCCAGGAACUGGAUCAGUCUGUGUCCCAGGCAUUCACUGUCUCCCAGGUGGUCUCAGCUGACUGCGGGGGCCAUGGCGACCCAUUGCCGGCUGCCAGGUCCACCUCCCCCUCGUGGUGCUUGGAUAGAGAGCAGCCUACCCACCUGGAUACUUGUCCCCAGGUGUCUUUGAGACGCUUAAUGGCAGGGCUCUGCAGAGCAGAAAGGAUCAUGUGU